Molecule: ribosomal RNA, 253 nt
Filed under: uncultured bacterium
Lineage: Bacteria
Description: partial 16S ribosomal RNA
Rfam family: Bacterial small subunit ribosomal RNA
Source: RNAcentral
UACGUAGGGCGCGAGCGUUGUCCGGAUUUAUUGGGCGUAAAGAGCUCGUAGGCGGCUUGUCGCGUCGACUGUGAAAACCCGGGGCUCAACCCCGGGCCUGCAUUCGAUACGGGCAGACUAGAGUUCGGUAGGGGAGACUGGAAUUCCUGGUGUAGCGGUGAAAUGCGCAGAUAUCAGGAGGAACACCGGUGGCGAAGGCGGGACUCUGGGCAGUAACUGACGCUGAGGAGCGAAAGCGUGGGGAGCGAACAGG